GGUAAGGUGGCCGAAAUAGGCGGUGGAUUGUAGUCCCAUGGAUAGAGGUUCAAGUCCUCUUCUUACCA
RNAcentral lists this transfer RNA (68 nucleotides) under Cataetyx rubrirostris (rubynose brotula). RNAcentral describes it as "tRNA-Tyr". It matches the Rfam family "tRNA". Rfam says of the family: Transfer RNA (tRNA) molecules are approximately 80 nucleotides in length. Lineage: Eukaryota; Metazoa; Chordata; Actinopteri; Ophidiiformes; Bythitidae. The record is from RNAcentral.